GACUGUUUGCAUUGCUCCAAAGGUUUUCUUGAACUUCAAGCGCAUAGGAAACUCGCUUCUUCUUGUGUUGGAAAAUUUUAAAUUACUUUUCAUAUCAAACAUAUACAUACAUGUGUACGUACACAUAUAAACACAAAAAGUCUAAAAGUUAUCUAUUCUUCUCUGAUGAUGCUUAAGUAACCCAAGAUAAAGUAGCACGAUCAGAGGAAAAAACUGGAAAACAUAAAACAUAUCUGCAUA
This 240-nucleotide long non-coding RNA is filed under the name Elaeis guineensis (African oil palm). Its description in RNAcentral is "long non-coding RNA (EGUI_LNC001473)". Lineage: Eukaryota; Viridiplantae; Streptophyta; Magnoliopsida; Arecales; Arecaceae. The record is from RNAcentral.